GGUGGGAGAUGAGCUUGCGGCCUAUCAGCUUGUUGGUGGGGUAAUGGCCUACCAAGGCGGCGACGGGUAGCCGGCCUGAGAGGGUGUGCGGCCACAUUGGGACUGAGAUACGGCCCAGACUCCUACGGGAGGCAGCAGUGGGGAAUUUUGCACAAUGGGCGGAAGCCUGAUGCAGCGACGCCGUGUGGGGGAUGAAGGCCUUCGGGUUGUAAACUCCUUUCGUCAGGGACGAAGUUUGUUUGACGGUACCUGGAUAAGAAGCACCGGCUAACUACGUGCCAGCAGCCGCGGUAAUAC
This 297-nucleotide ribosomal RNA is filed under the name uncultured Corynebacterium sp. RNAcentral's name for it is "partial 16S ribosomal RNA". It matches the Rfam family "Bacterial small subunit ribosomal RNA", at positions 217 to 526 of the family's 1533-position model. The record is from RNAcentral. Lineage: Bacteria; Bacillati; Actinomycetota; Actinomycetes; Mycobacteriales; Corynebacteriaceae.